AUGCAACGCGAAGAACCUUACCUACUCUUGACAUCCAGAGAACUUUCCAGAGAUGCAUUGGUGCCUUCGGGAACUCUGAGACAGGUGCUGCAUGGCUGUCGUCAGCUCGUGUUGUGAAAUGUUGGGUUAAGUCCCGCAACGAGCGCAACCCUUAUCCUUUGUUGCCAGCGGUCCGGCCGGGAACUCAAAGGAGACUGCCAGUGAUAAACUGGAGGAAGGUGGGGAUGACGUCAAGUCAUCAUGGCCCUUACGAGUAGGGCUACACACGUGCUACAAUGGCGCAUACAAAGAGAAGCGACCUCGCGAGAGCAAGCGGACCUCAUAAAGUGCGUCGUAGUCCGGAUUGGAGUCUGCAACUCGACUCCAUGAAGUCGGAAUCGCUAGUAAUCGUAGAUCAGAAUGCUACGGUGAAUACGUUCCCGGGCC
This 426-nucleotide ribosomal RNA is filed under the name Enterobacter sp. MZ-89. RNAcentral's name for it is "bacterial SSU rRNA". It matches the Rfam family "Bacterial small subunit ribosomal RNA", at positions 954 to 1380 of the family's 1533-position model. The record is from RNAcentral. Lineage: Bacteria; Pseudomonadati; Pseudomonadota; Gammaproteobacteria; Enterobacterales; Enterobacteriaceae.